UACGUAGGGUGCGAGCGUUAAUCGGAAUUACUGGGCGUAAAGCGUGCGCAGGCGGCUUUGCAAGACAGAUGUGAAAUCCCCGGGCUCAACCUGGGAACUGCAUUUGUGACUGCAAGGCUAGAGUACGGCAGAGGGGGAUGGAAUCCCGCGUGUAGCAGUGAAAUGCGUAGAUAUGCGGAGGAACACCAAUGGCGAAGGCAAUCCCCUGGGCCUGUACUGACGCUCAUGCACGAAAGCGUGGGGAGCAAACAGG
RNAcentral lists this ribosomal RNA (253 nucleotides) under uncultured bacterium. RNAcentral describes it as "partial 16S ribosomal RNA". It matches the Rfam family "Bacterial small subunit ribosomal RNA", at positions 524 to 776 of the family's 1533-position model. The record is from RNAcentral.